AUGGACUCCGUGGAGAGGUCCAGGAGGAGGGCGCAGCGAUGGAGUAAGCGCAAGGCCGCCGUCGUCCACCUCGCCGUCUGCUUCGUCGUCGGCGCCUUCGCACCGCUGGUCGCCACCCGCGGCCCGUUGAUCGACGGCAUCCGCGCCUCGUUUCUUCCGUUUGGCGGUGUUCAGCGAGCCCCUGCUGCCCCCGACAUCGGCCUCCUGCUGAUCGUCACCGUCACACGGCCGGACGACGACGUUGUGUCGCAGGAGGCGUCGCUGACAAGGCUUGGGCACACGCUGCGGCUCGUCCCGCCGCCGUUGCUAUGGAUCGUGGUUGGGGCCGAGAACAGGUCGGCGUCAACGGUCCAGGUGCUCCGCGGCACCGGCGUCAUGUUCCGGCAUCUCACCUACGCCAACAACACCACCGGGAAUGUCAAUGACGAAGCGGACCUGAAGAAGAACGUGGCGCUGAGCCACAUCGAGCGGCACCGGCUGGCCGGGGUUGUCCACUUCGCCGCCGCCUCUGCCAUAUACGACCUCGAGUUCUUUGAAGAGCUCAGGCAGACUCGGGGCGUUGCAGCAUGGCCAACGGCAACUGUGUCAUCAGCAGAGCAGAGAGUAACAGUGCAAGGACCAACCUGCAACUCAUCACAGAUAACAGGCUGGUACUCCAAGGACUCGGGCACCAAUGAGACACAUAGAGAGUCUGUUGCUGCUGCACAAGAUACAGGUGCAAUCCACAACAUCUCCAGUUCACCUCCUGCAAUAGAGACAUCUGGACUUGGGUUCAGGAGCUCAAUACUGUGGGAAUCAGAAUGGUUCGUCAACAGCAACAGCUCUCAGGACUUCAUCCAGCUUGUACGAGAAAUGGCGGUCGGCGACGGGGACGAGCGGAAGGGCAUCCCUUCUAACUGCUCCGAGUCACGGAUAAUGCUGUGGCACCUUGACAUGCCAAAGCACACUCCAGAAGUUGAAGAACAGGAGACUCCACAGGAGCAAAGUCCAUUGGAGGAAGACGAAGAGGACUAUAUGACUUGA
This 1023-nucleotide ribosomal RNA is filed under the name Triticum aestivum (bread wheat). RNAcentral describes it as "partial small subunit ribosomal RNA". The record is from RNAcentral. Lineage: Eukaryota; Viridiplantae; Streptophyta; Magnoliopsida; Poales; Poaceae.